UUUCACCAACUGUUAGGAUGGAGGAAACAUCUCUACUGCGGCUACUCUUUCUGACCUCACUGCUGAGCAGCACAACAAACCAAGACCCCCAUUUGAGAAACAGUGAUUUGGUGGAUAAUCAUGACUGUCAAAGUCUAGUCCGGAUACGUGUCGUCUUCCCGUCAACCAACAAGAAUGUGUGUGUGUGUGUGUGUGUGUGUGUGUGUGUGUGUGUGUGUGUGUGUGUGUGUGUGUGUGUGUGUGUGUGUGUGUGUGUGUGUGUGUGUGAGAGAGACAAGACACAAGAGAUACGUUGUGUUCCCCCUCGACCAACAAGGUCUUAAUCCUAAUCUUUCUGGGUAAAUA
Perca fluviatilis (European perch) is the source of this 345-nucleotide long non-coding RNA. RefSeq lists it as uncharacterized. NCBI's taxonomy places the organism in Eukaryota, Metazoa, Chordata, Actinopteri, Perciformes, Percidae. The record is from RefSeq and is a predicted model, not a curated record. The transcript is spliced from 3 exons.